This is an RNA transcript of Camelus dromedarius (Arabian camel), 2249 nucleotides long. It is a transcript of the gene named X-ray repair cross complementing 2, with no coding region annotated. The transcript is spliced from 3 exons. Lineage: Eukaryota; Metazoa; Chordata; Mammalia; Artiodactyla; Camelidae. The record is from RefSeq and is a predicted model, not a curated record.
CCUAACAGUUUUAGUUUGUGGCAUUUAAAGAAAAUCGUGUUAGUUUCAUAAAUGACUGUUUUUGACUGAAAGGAUGAAUUGACUGAUAAAGCUGAGGAUUGUAGCUAAUCUAAUGAGGAGAAACCCUUGAUUAUUCAAAUAAAGAAACUCAGAUAGCUUUCCCGAGGUUAUUAAAGUGGGCGAGCUCAAACUUAAACCCAGCUGAGACUCCAGAGCUGAGGAGAUUGACGUCCACCUCAUUAAUGUCUGGAGAAGAAAGGCAGACUGAUGUUUUCAGCUACAUUCCCACCUAAUACAGGGGGUCUUUACAAGCUCCUGCAAUGGCCUCCAACGUUCUGCUUUAAAGGACCCCGGCUGCCUCUUGGGCCACUGGUCACUGCUCCCCAGGCACAGUGACCACCAAGUGCUUCUUGCCACAGGGCCUUUCCAUUUGCUGUCUGGAUCAGCUGUUCUUCAGACUUCUCAAGUGGCUUAGCUCAUGUCACCCCAGGAGGCACUUCUGACCCUUUAUCUAAAGUAGGACCCCUCCAGCCUGGUCAGUUACUGUCUGUCAUUUCCCCCUGUUAUUGUCUUCAGAGCAUGAACACAGUCUGAAAUCAUCUUGUUUAUUUGCUUGUUAACGGUCUGUUCCCCUUCACCUCCUCUCCACCAUUACGAGCUCCUGGACUCAGGGGCCUUUCCUGUGUUUUUUCAGAGCUGUGGAGUGCAAGGUAGACACUCAAUAAAUCCUUGAUAAAUAAAUAUGGAUGGGAUGUUAGCAGUGAUCAAAAGAAGUAACCAAACUCCUUCACAUCUGAUUCUGCUGGAAUUGUACGGACACACCUAUAGGCUGCAGGUGUGUGAGGCUGCACAUCGUGUGACAACUCUUCCCAAUGACAAUGACCUCAUGGAGCUGGCAAAGUAACUUCAUGCUGAGGAGCCUCCUGUCAGUCUUUUCAAACAGCUGCCAACUACUUGUCUGCUCACAGCAGCCAACGGACCUUCAUCAUCUUUUAUCAUUCCAGAAGCACCACGGCACAAAGCUCAGUUUCUGCCCUUCCACUUAUUCUACCUAUUUUUCUGUUCUCAGUCCCUAGUUGUUUCCUUUUAAAACUUGUCUUCAUCAGGAGUGACUUGAAUUUUGCACGUGCUGAUCCUUAAAUUCUGUGUUUAAGGUGCUGACAAGUAUACUGAAGUAAAUUGUACAGAUGUGGAAUCUUGUGCAUAUGAAACACACAGUUGGAAAUGACUACUCUAAUUUCAGUAUCCAACACAGAUAAAUAUUUGGGUCAAUAAUCCAAUUUUUUUCAAUAAUCCAAUUUUUGAAAGUCUACAUUAUUUAGUGUAAUGUGCAAGAAAAAGUGAAAAAGAAAGGAUGAGUAAUAAAGUUUAAAUGUACCACUUCAUAAAUUUAUUAGCCAUGUAUAGGUUGUAUUUCUGUGUACAAUAGUUAGACAUUUUUAUAAUUUGCAUUAACCAAGCCAGAUUCUCCCCAAUCUCAAAGUUUAAGUUUAGUAAACUUGAAAAAGCCAGCAGGAAUUAAGCCCUGAAGGAAUUCAAAUGACUGUCUUAUUGUAGUCCUGAUUUCAGCCAUUUCAGAGCACUAUGCUUUUAGUCAGAAUGGGCUCUAGAAAUCAAACUGUAUAUUCGCCCAAAUAAGAUACAGGAUUCGAAAUUUUUAUUCUGGCUACUGGGAGGAAGGGCAGGCAAACAUCAUAGCAGGAGAAAGCAGAAUGUUAUUUUUACCUUAUACUGAAACCGGGCUGUGAAGACUGAAAGAAUCAGAAAGUCCUAGGAUGCUCGGCCUAGAGUAUAUGUCUAUAAAAUGAGUUUAACUCAAUCCUUUUGCAACUGGUUGAGAGGUCUUAGUAUUUUCUCCCAAUUCAAAGCUGUAAUUUUUUCACUCCCAUAGUGAAUGGAAAGGAAAGCAAAGAGCACAUUGUCUAAGUGUCCAUCAGUGUUAGAAUAAGAAAUCCACAAUUCCACGUUUGGAACUCUCCUUCCUGAUAAAGUGCAUAUUUCAGAUUUCUGAUUCUAGCCCAUUUUUUUUAAAAAACCGGUUUUACGUAUUGUAGGAGGUGGCUUACAAGUACUUCGAUUUUUGUCUCCACCGCAAUACACAACGUUAAAACCAAGUUGUUGGGUUUUUAUUGGUUUAUUAUGUCUUUCAGCAUUUUUUUCUUCAAAAUGUCAUCGUUCUUUUUGUCUUGACAGUUAAAAAAACCCUUUCUGGAUCAUUUAAAAAAUUACGUUGUAAUAACGAAACUAUC